Molecule: ribosomal RNA, 465 nt
Filed under: Vreelandella stevensii
Lineage: Bacteria; Pseudomonadati; Pseudomonadota; Gammaproteobacteria; Oceanospirillales; Halomonadaceae
Description: partial 16S ribosomal RNA
Rfam family: Bacterial small subunit ribosomal RNA
Source: RNAcentral
CCUACGGGUGGCAGCAGUGGGGAAUAUUGGACAAUGGGCGAAAGCCUGAUCCAGCCAUGCCGCGUGUGUGAAGAAGGCCUUCGGGUUGUAAAGCACUUUCAGUGGGGAAGAAAGCCUUGGGGCUAAUACCCUCGAGGAAGGACAUCACCCACAGAAGAAGCACCGGCUAACUCCGUGCCAGCAGCCGCGGUAAUACGGAGGGUGCGAGCGUUAAUCGGAAUUACUGGGCGUAAAGCGCGCGUAGGCGGUCUGAUAAGCCGGUUGUGAAAGCCCCGGGCUCAACCUGGGAACGGCAUCCGGAACUGUCAGGCUAGAGUGCAGGAGAGGAAGGUAGAAUUCCCGGUGUAGCGGUGAAAUGCGUAGAGAUCGGGAGGAAUACCAGUGGCGAAGGCGGCCUUCUGGACUGACACUGACGCUGAGGUGCGAAAGCGUGGGUAGCAAACAGGACUAGAUACCCGAGUAGUC